GACGAACCGGCCGAACGUUAUUCGGAAUCAUUGGGCUUAAAGGGUGCGUAGGCGGUGCGGUAAGUUGGGUGUGAAAUCCCUCGGCUCAACCGAGGAACUGCGCUCAAUACUGCCGUGCUUGAGGAAGACAGAGGCGAGCGGAACUGAUGGUGGAGCGGUGAAAUGCGUUGAUAUCAUCAGGAACACCAGUGGCGAAAGCGGCUCGCUGGGUCUUUUCUGACGCUGAGGCACGAAAGCUAGGGUAGCGAACAGG
RNAcentral lists this ribosomal RNA (253 nucleotides) under uncultured bacterium. RNAcentral's name for it is "partial 16S ribosomal RNA". It matches the Rfam family "Bacterial small subunit ribosomal RNA", at positions 524 to 776 of the family's 1533-position model. The record is from RNAcentral.